UCUACAGGCUUAACACAUGCAAGUCGAGGGGCAGCAUGGUCUUAGCUUGCUAAGGCCGAUGGCGACCGGCGCACGGGUGAGUAACACGUAUCCAACCUGCCGUCUACUCUUGGACAGCCUUCUGAAAGGAAGAUUAAUACAAGAUGGCAUCAUGAGUCCGCAUGUUCACAUGAUUAAAGGUAUUCCGGUAGACGAUGGGGAUGCGUUCCAUUAGAUAGUAGGCGGGGUAACGGCCCACCUAGUCUUCGAUGGAUAGGGGUUCUGAGAGGAAGGUCCCCCACAUUGGAACUGAGACACGGUCCAAACUCCUACGGGAGGCAGCAGUGAGGAAUAUUGGUCAAUGGGCGAGAGCCUGAACCAGCCAAGUAGCGUGAAGGAUGACUGCCCUAUGGGUUGUAAACUUCUUUUAUAAAGGAAUAAAGUCGGGUAUGCAUACCCGUUUGCAUGUACUUUAUGAAUAAGGAUCGGCUAACUCCGUGCCAGCAGCCGCGGUAAUACGGAGGAUCCGAGCGUUAUCCGGAUUUAUUGGGUUUAAAGGGAGCGUAGAUGGAUGUUUAAGUCAGUUGUGAAAGUUUGCGGCUCAACCGUAAAAUUGCAGUUGAUACUGGAUAUCUUGAGUGCAGUUGAGGCAGGCGGAAUUCGUGGUGUAGCGGUGAAAUGCUUAGAUAUCACGAAGAACUCCGAUUGCGAAGGCAGCCUGCUAAGCUGCAACUGACAUUGAGGCUCGAAAGUGUGGGUAUCAAACAGGAUUAGAUACCCUGGUAGUCCACACGGUAAACGAUGAAUACUCGCUGUUUGCGAUAUACUGCAAGCGGCCAAGCGAAAGCGUUAAGUAUUCCACCUGGGGAGUACGCCGGCAACGGUGAAACUCAAAGGAAUUGACGGGGGCCCGCACAAGCGGAGGAACAUGUGGUUUAAUUCGAUGAUACGCGAGGAACCUUACCCGGGCUUAAAUUGCAGAUGAAUUACGGUGAAAGCCGUAAGCCGCAAGGCAUCUGUGAAGGUGCUGCAUGGUUGUCGUCAGCUCGUGCCGCGAGGUGUCGGCUUAAGUGCCAUAACGAGCGCAACCCUUGUUGUCAGUUACUAACAGGUUCCGCUGAGGACUCUGACAAGACUGCCAUCGUAAGAUGUGAGGAAGGUGGGGAUGACGUCAAAUCAGCACGGCCCUUACGUCCGGGGCUACACACGUGUUACAAUGGGGGGUACAGAGGGCCGCUACCACGCGAGUGGAUGCCAAUCCCCAAAACCUCUCUCAGUUCGGACUGGAGUCUGCAACCCGACUCCACGAAGCUGGAUUCGCUAGUAAUCGCGCAUCAGCCACGGCGCGGUGAAUACGUUCCCGGGCCUUGUACACACCGCCCGUCAAGCCAUGGGAGCCGGGGGUACCUGAAGUGCGUAACCGCGAGGAGCGCCCUAGGGUAAAACUGGUGACUGGGGC
This 1438-nucleotide ribosomal RNA is filed under the name uncultured organism. RNAcentral describes it as "SSU rRNA". It matches the Rfam family "Bacterial small subunit ribosomal RNA". The record is from RNAcentral.